Long non-coding RNA from Leopardus geoffroyi (Geoffroy's cat), 1354 nucleotides. RefSeq lists it as uncharacterized. The record is from RefSeq and is a predicted model, not a curated record. The transcript has 2 exons. NCBI's taxonomy places the organism in Eukaryota, Metazoa, Chordata, Mammalia, Carnivora, Felidae.
UAUUACCCUACCCUCUCGAGAGUUGGAAAUAAGUUUCUUGGUCCGGCCCCUCGCCUCUGACAGAUUUCUGCUGUCACCCUGGAUAUUCUAGAUUUUCCUGUACUAAGCGCAGUCCUGCUCUCCCUAGGGAGCGAUGAUGAGUCUUAGUGAAGUGCAGUGAUUUCUUGUACUAAGUAGAGCAGCGCCAGUAGUAACCCGUUCAUUUUGAUCCUAAGUCUUGGCAAUACUAGAUCUUAAUUUUACUCCAGACCACCGUCUCUUACACUCUGCCCACUCUCCCCUUUCCUGAGGGGUAAAGGUAGUUUAGAAAGAAUAGUGGUCAAAGAUCCCAAGGUUUCACUAAUUGUGUUCUGAUUGUUUUGUGAGUGAUAAUCACUUCUUUGUGAAUGCGGUUGAGAAACUUCUGAAAAAAAAUUUAUUUAUACAUACGAGUCUUUAAUUGUUGAAAACAAACUGAUGGUUACCAAAGAGGAGAUGGGUGAAAUAGGUGAUGGGGAUUAAGGAGUGCACUUCCAAUGAGCACCGAGUGAUUAAAAUAAAAACGUAAGAAAUAUUUAUUUAGAGUACAAUCUUUUGAAAGUAACUUAUAACUGCUGAAAGGGGUAAGGAAAGACUUAAAAUCAUGUAAGAAUUGGCUCUUUUUCAAAUCGGUAACAGGAAGGGUACAAUUUUGUUUGAUAAUACAGUUAUACAUAUAAUCGUACUGUCAAACGAUAUACAGUUGACCCUUGAACACGUAUUUAAACUGCCCAGUCCACUUACAUAUUUAAAGAUGAGAUAAACAUCCCUUGAUCAAAAAAUGGGAUUUCUGAUAGAAGAAAGUUUUGUUCUCACUCUGAAACCUUCUACUUCACCUUAAUGAGACAUCUGGAAGAUGAAUGCAGUUGGUGACAGUAGUAGAAUAUGACUAGAUCCUUACAAGCUGAUUGGUAUUCCUGGAGAGGAAGGAAUGUCGUUAUUGGUCCCUUGAAGAAAGAUUGCAAGAUAAGUGAAAACACUUCUCAUGACACGAUUGGUUUUCAAUGUGGCAUCCUACUGAAUCUGUGAUUUAUGAUAUAAUGGGGUGUAUGUUUCCAUCUUUUUGUCUUAAGUAUCAUAUGUAGUUGAGACCACUUGUACACAUUUUUACCCACUGUUUGUUGUUGUUUUCUUACCCACUGCUUCUUAACUGAAGGUGAUUUUGCCCCCCAGCAGACCCUUGGCAAUGUUUGCAACAUUUCGGUUGUCACAACUGAGGAGAGUGUUCCUGGCACCUAAUAGAUAAAGCCAAAGAUGCUGCUAAAUAUCCUAUGAUGUGGAGGACAGCCCCCGACAAAACAGAAGUACCCAGCCCAAAAUGUCAGUAGCGCCAAGG